Molecule: long non-coding RNA, 151 nt
Organism: Octopus sinensis (East Asian common octopus)
Lineage: Eukaryota; Metazoa; Mollusca; Cephalopoda; Octopoda; Octopodidae
Exons: 3
Source: RefSeq, a predicted model, not a curated record
GGUAAUAAAGGAAAGUGUGUUCAUAGACGCAAGAAAAAUAAUGCCAGUUCGUAGUCAAUAGUACACGGGAGUUGAAAUACUGUAUCAAGAAGUCGUAGCCAUGAUGUUGAGCCGAUUACAGGUACAUGUCAUAUGUGAAGUCGUGGCUGUG